GCCUUCGUGGUGUAGUGGUCAGCUCACUCGAUGCGUAACUGAGAUGUCCGUGGUUCGAUUCCCGGCGAAGGUG
This 73-nucleotide transfer RNA is filed under the name Stegodyphus mimosarum. It matches the Rfam family "tRNA". From Rfam's summary of the family: Transfer RNA (tRNA) molecules are approximately 80 nucleotides in length. Their secondary structure includes four short double-helical elements and three loops (D, anti-codon, and T loops). The record is from Rfam by way of RNAcentral. Lineage: Eukaryota; Metazoa; Arthropoda; Arachnida; Araneae; Eresidae.